UACACACCGCCCGUCACACCAAGGGAGUUGGAUUCACUCGAAGGCGUUGAGCUAACCCGCAAGGGAGGCAGGCGACCACAGUGGGUUUAGCGACUGGGGUG
RNAcentral lists this ribosomal RNA (101 nucleotides) under uncultured bacterium. RNAcentral describes it as "partial 16S ribosomal RNA". It matches the Rfam family "Bacterial small subunit ribosomal RNA", at positions 1384 to 1482 of the family's 1533-position model. The record is from RNAcentral.